GAUGGACGCUGGCGGCGUGCCUAAUACAUGCAAGUAGAACGCUGAAGGAGGAGCUUGCUCUUCUGGAUGAGUUGCGAACGGGUGAGUAACGCGUAGGUAACCUGCCUGGUAGCGGGGGAUAACUAUUGGAAACGAUAGCUAAUACCGCAUGACAACAGUUAUUGCAUGAUAACUGUUUAAAAGGGGCAACUGCUCCACUACCAGAUGGACCUGCGUUGUAUUAGCUAGUUGGUGAGGUAACGGCUCACCAAGGCGACGAUACAUAGCCGACCUGAGAGGGUGAUCGGCCACACUGGGACUGAGACACGGCCCAGACUCCUACGGGAGGCAGCAGUAGGGAAUCUUCGGCAAUGGACGGAAGUCUGACCGAGCAACGCCGCGUGAGUGAAGAAGGGUUUCGGAUCGUAAAGCUCUGUUGUAAGAGAAGAACGAGUGUGAGAGUGGAAAGUUCACACUGUGACGGUAUCUUACCAGAAAGGGACGGCUAACUACGUG
This 495-nucleotide ribosomal RNA is filed under the name uncultured bacterium. RNAcentral describes it as "partial 16S ribosomal RNA". It matches the Rfam family "Bacterial small subunit ribosomal RNA", at positions 28 to 507 of the family's 1533-position model. The record is from RNAcentral.